This is a long non-coding RNA of Gopherus flavomarginatus (Mexican gopher tortoise), 394 nucleotides long. RefSeq lists it as uncharacterized. The transcript is spliced from 3 exons. The record is from RefSeq and is a predicted model, not a curated record. Lineage: Eukaryota; Metazoa; Chordata; Testudines; Testudinidae.
CGAGGGCUCCCAGCCAAUCAUAACAAACACAACAAAAAUGGAGCAAUGCAGGUCUGAAAGUGUGACAGUGGAUGUAAGAGAAUAUGCUGUUCUCUGCAGGUUGCUGAGAUGACCAACCAUUCCCAGCUGCAGUGGUGGACCACUUGAGAACUGGACCUGAGAUCAACACCUCAUUUCACUAAGCAGCUACCAGAUGAAAAAAGUGCCCACACUCUAACACCCCAGUGAAAGGCCAUCACCGCUCAGCUACCAAACCUUCCAGCCCUCAGUCUCAAUGAUAUAAACAGCAUUUCUUUAUAGGUACAGAAAAUCUCUUUCCCUCAACUACAUUUAAGGCCAAGUGUUCUAAGAUACAACAAUGUGUAAUACUGAAACUCCAGCUGAAUGUUGGCAA